This 1784-nucleotide long non-coding RNA is filed under the name Cricetulus griseus (Chinese hamster). RNAcentral's name for it is "lncRNA (ENSCGRG00015031302.1)". The record is from RNAcentral. Lineage: Eukaryota; Metazoa; Chordata; Mammalia; Rodentia; Cricetidae.
CUAAACUAAAGUAAACAGAGAAGUAAUUAAGAAAACAAAAGCAAAAGAUAGAAAUAAGAAUCCUGUAAGGUAGUGUCAUGCUCAAGAUUGCUAUCCUAUAUUAUUAAAACAUGGUUGUUAAGCAAAAUCUUUGGCCUCUAAGCUGACAAACACUUCAGGAAUGUGCAAUCCAUGGGAAGAAAAGGAAGAGAGAGAGGACACAGAAACUAACUUUAAAGAAGUUCAGAGAGUUGACUUAGGUUUUUAUUUUCAGACCACUUAGUUUGAAUAUGCUUGAAGAGCAAAGGACAUGAUAUUUUGUAACUUAAAGGAAGACAUGAGACAAUAUUUAUCGAUCACUGAGUACCUGUGGCUACAAGAUAACUGAAAGGAAUAAUUCGAUAACCGGUCUCAGGCAUUAGUCUGUGAAAGACAGAAAAAUUAGUGAAUGUGAAGGGGGAACAAUAUUCUAUGUUCCUGUAACACUUCAUCUAUAUUUGAUGUCCUAGAAAGUUAUUUCCUUGUCAAUUAGUUGGUCAUUUAAUUUUUUUCUCUUCUUUCAUAUAUAAGAAUUACUCUCUUACUCUCCAGGGACACACAAAAACAUUCAACACAAAGGACAAAAAGCAUGUGGAGGAGCUGUGCAAAAAUCAUAUAAAACAUCAUUAAACUUGAGCUAAAAGGUCUGGGCCUCUUACUCCAUUGGGGUCUACAUCGUUUCUGCUCAGUGUCUCCACAGAGCAGAGAGAGAAGAGAGCAAUUUCCUGUUUGUUCAUGCUUAUAUACUGUUACUGCCUACAUCAUCAUUUCCUGGUUGGAUCACAUGGAGACUUCUCUUUACUACAUGUCCCAGGAUUCUCCUUGCCUCCUAGUCCCACCUAGCUUGCUUCACUAUUGGCCAACAAUGCUGUAUUCAACAAGCAAUAAGAUAAACAUAUGUACAGAAGAUUUCUCCCAUCAGAGAAGUUAUGUAUCCAUUCUAAAUUUUUGUCUAAGAAACUGAAGUUUUAACUUUACUGAAUCUGAAAAAAACUUUAUUGAGAGUAUAGAAAUUUUUGCUAGAAUAUAGACCUGCAUUCUUUAAAGAGCCUCUGUGAACGGAAAAGAAAAAUGGGAAAAUUAUAGGACUAAAGCAAGUUAAAAUAAGAUAAAUUGCAAUUUGUAAUUUGGUUGACACAAAGAAGUAUAAAAAUGUUUAAAUAUUAACUGAAUUAAAAGUAACCCUUCAUCCAGUGGCUGAUGGAAGCAGAGGCAGACACCCACAGCUAUACACUGAACUGAACUCAGGAACCCAUUUUCAGAGAGGGAGGAGUGAUGAGCAAAGAGGUGAAGUCUGGGCUGGUGAAACCCACAGAAACAGCUGAUCUGAUCAAGGGGGAGCACAUGGACCCCAGACUGAUGGCUGGGAGACCAGCAUGGGACUGAUCCAGAUCCCUGAACAUGGAUGUCAGUGAGGAGGCCUUGGCACUCUAUGUAGUAGAUAAUUAUUUAUCUAUGAUAUACGAAAGAAUUUUGGAAGCCCAUCCCACAUGGAAGGAUGCUCUCUCAUCCUGACACAUGGCGAGGGACUAAGCCCUACCCAGGAUGAUAUGACAGACUUCGGGGAUCACCCAUGGAGGGCCUUACCUUCCCUGGGGACCAGAGGUGAGAUGGUGUGGGGGAUUGUUGCGGGGAAGGGAGAAGGGAACAAGGAUUGACAUGUAAAGCAGGCUUGUUUCUAAUUUGUACUAAUAAAAAGUAAAUAAAUUAAUUUUUUAAAAAGUAACACUAUCAGUGUUUGUAAGUAGGCAAUAAAUACAUCUUAU